AUUUUCUUUAAGAGAGUUCAAGAAGAGAGAAGAAGAAAAAGAAACCUUGAGCUAGAGAGAGAGCUCGAAUUUGGGAGGAAAAAAGUAGCAAGAACGAGUUGCAAGCAGUCCGUAACUUUCAGCACGCUAAAGAGGUUUUCGAAGCACAAUUUUGGCUAGUUUUGGUCAAUUUCGAAUAAGGUACAGAUAUACAGUUUGGGGAUCCGCCGGCAUAGAAGUCCCACUCAGUGGUCCGGAAGUGCUCCAUUGUGCUGGAGCCUAAUUUUGGGUACUAAACCUUAUUGUAUAUAUUUGUUUUGAUCACGGGUACGGCGGGGGCCCUGUCUCGCCUUAUGUUACUAUUUUUUUUACUCUGAGAGGUCUGUGGAUACGUAUGUGGGUUGUACGUAUGUGGGUUGUAUGUGUACGUGAGUUGUAUAUGAGUGGUAUAUGAAUUGAAUAUGUACUGAUGUGACUUAUGAUUUGGGGCGUUCCCUGUGUCGU
Solanum dulcamara is the source of this 483-nucleotide long non-coding RNA. RefSeq lists it as uncharacterized. The record is from RefSeq and is a predicted model, not a curated record. The transcript has 3 exons. Lineage: Eukaryota; Viridiplantae; Streptophyta; Magnoliopsida; Solanales; Solanaceae.